This 102-nucleotide non-coding RNA is filed under the name pig gut metagenome. Its description in RNAcentral is "THF riboswitch". It matches the Rfam family "THF (Tetrahydrofolate) riboswitch aptamer". Rfam says of the family: THF riboswitch presents a pseudoknot that joins P1-P2 and the loop of P3 and two THF binding. The record is from RNAcentral.
CAGAGUAGGGAAAUGCGCGUAUAGUGUUCCGCCGACGGGGAGUUGCGGCGGAAACGAAAAGCAUGGUCAUCAUGCUUGCGGUGCAUUUUUCGCAUCCCGCUG